This 1482-nucleotide long non-coding RNA is filed under the name Equus caballus (horse). Its description in RNAcentral is "lncRNA (ENSECAG00000057196.1)". The record is from RNAcentral. Lineage: Eukaryota; Metazoa; Chordata; Mammalia; Perissodactyla; Equidae.
ACAAGGCUUCUCCCUUCGGUGAAAUGCCUUUGCGGUCUCAUGAUAAACACACCCGUGGAGGCCGAGAGCUCUUGGAGGACCAGCUGCAGCCUUGAGAUGCAGGUUGGUCCAUGAGGGGGAAGAAGCCUGAAUACUGUCUCCACUGGCCUCUGAAAACAAGGUCCCUUCAACUGCAGGGAAUGCUGGCCUCAGUGUCAUCUGUAGAAUGGGGUCGUCAUAGGAUCCAGCACAGGGGUCACUGUGGAGGGCCGAGAAGAUGACGUGUGCGAAGGCCCUGCCUCACAGGGAUGCUCAGUGAGGAGAAGCUGCAUCCGCUCUUUCCGCAGACCUGGGAGGGCUCUCGACUCGUUUGGGGCUGCGUGUUAAAACCCUGGUGAAUGGGGUCAUGUUGUUUCUACUCUGAUUUGUUGUGUGUCUGUGUUUUCAGGACCUCUCUGGGCCAUGUGCGGGGAGUUGAGGGACCUUGUUCUCCCACUGACAACACUUUGAGCUUCCAAGUUGUCAUACUGAGGAUUCACCGUCUCCAGGCGGGGGUUGGGGCUGACCCUUCCACUGUCCCCGUCACUGGUGACGUCACAGCAGAGGAGUCUGCGGAGACCGAGUUCUGGGGGAGGGGAGGGGUCUGGGGGGCAGUGUGUGUCCCUGUGGUGUUGGGCAUGUCAAACAGCCGCCCCUUUCCUCUGUUUGGCAGAUGCCAGCACUUCACACUCAUGUGGACGCAUCGUGGGCCUUCUACAUAUGCUGAGACAGCUGUGGGUCUGUGCCCAACACCCACAGGGCUCCAGAAAAUGCUGAGCAGGAAGAAGGGCUGCGUGGGGAGGCAGGAGGGCAGAGGGGCCUGAGAGCUGGGCAGGCAGCCAGAGCCCUGAAGACUCAUCAGGAGCUGGGACGGAAUGCACGCGUGAGCCGAGCCCAAGCAGACCCUCCAUCGGUCAGGGCUGGCCCUGGGGGAGCCAGUUCCCAGCUCAGGGGCCGGCAAGCAGGCCCACGGACGCUGCCUGGGCCUCCUCCUGCAGACCAGCCCUCCAACUAGCCCGAGACAAAACACUGGAGAGGGCCCACCUCCCGCGGUCAAGGUGAAGGGUAAAGGAGACAGCGUUCGCUCAGGCAGCGCCAGACACACAGCAGGUGCUUCAGCAUUACUGUCACAAACCCAGGCAAAGCCCAGGGCUGAGGCGAGUAACAUCACUUCCAACGGACACGGAGGCGAUCCAUCCCCAGCAACUUGGCCACUGAGUGAGGCAGGUUAGGGCCCUGGCUCCUGUUCUUUUCACAUCAAAUGAGAAAGAUGUGCAGCUUGGCACAUGUUUGUGGCACACCCACAUCCUUGUUGCCAGGAUGGCAUCCCUGCCCUUCAGGAGCAUCCUGGUCAAUGGGGUCUGCUCUGUUCCAGGCAGUGGAGGUGACAGGGGUUGGGAGAUGAGAUGGAUACCCUAAAAGUUAAUAUCUUACCUAUAUAUAAACUGAAUAGCCUAAUAAUUA